This 2058-nucleotide long non-coding RNA is filed under the name Homo sapiens (human). Its description in RNAcentral is "non-protein coding lnc-FSIP1-8:1". Lineage: Eukaryota; Metazoa; Chordata; Mammalia; Primates; Hominidae. The record is from RNAcentral.
AAUCUAAGGGCUGCCCAACUAUGAGACUUUAUAAGUCUCAACCCUUAUGUAGUACCAUUAGUUGGUAUAUUCAAUCAUAGCAAUUAUUAUACCCAUUUUAUAGAAAAGCACACUGAGAUGUAAAGAGGUAAAGUAAUACCUCACAGUGCAAGUUUGAAUAUUUCUUAAGUGAUAUUCAUACUGAAGUUUACCUGAUAACAACAUCAUUUUCUUAAAUACAAUACUGCCCAUGCCAGUGGAAAUUAUAAAACCCUCAAAAACUCUCAAACAGUUCAAAAUAGCAAUAUAAUCUUAAGUCACAAAAUGAUAGGGAUUUAGAAUAACAUAACAUAUUUCAUAUAAUACCUGGAGAUAAGGAUGUGGCGUUGCAUAGAGGUAGACAAACCAAAUAAUAUCAAGAUUUUUCAAUAAUGUUGUCUUUUAUUACUUUAGGAACAAAUUGACAACCACAAAUUACAGGCUAAGAAGAAUAAGCAGUUCAUUUUAGCAUUGUCAUUUAAUAAAACUAACAAUUUUGUCACAUUAAAAUAUACGUUACUUCUGUUGUAUUUGGCCAUACAUUGAUGGGUGUAUGGUUAUAUUUAGUAUUGCAAUGGUUACAUUUAGUAUUACUUUUAUAGAAAAAAAAUAGAACUUUUUUCCCCCAUUGUUUAGUCCACUGGUACUAAUAACUUGUCUCAUCAUGAAUAAUUUUCCCUGAUGCUGCGUUCUUUUUCUUUGUUAUCAUCAACAUGUAUAUGAUCACACUCAGAUUCUAGAUCUUACUCCCAGUAAGGUUCUCUUGUCCUUGAUCUUGGCUUUCUUUUCCUUGAGCAGGCCUGGGGCUUUUUGUACCCCAUGCUAAUGCUUCAAGCUGCCUGGUCUUCUACUGAGUUGGAGCAUGCCCAAUAUUGUGAUGCAGGCAUAAUUUCAAAUAUUCUUUCAGGUUUUUUUUAGAUUAUGGGUCAGCCCAUGGAUCUCGUGCAGAAAACUAGAGUCACCAUAUCAGAUUGGUUUAGUCCUAGAGAACUAGAUGAUCAGGAACCUUAGAAGCUGAGCUUCCCUAAGGAAUAAUGUUGUAAGGAAAGCCCGUUACCCUUUUUGAGGGAAUUGGGUUGCCCUAUACUGGGAUAGUGGCCUCAGGAAGGGUAAAGGGCUCAGUCAGAGGGAGCCCUGCACCCUGAGUCUGGCCAUGCAGGAGCGGAAAGUUUUCUGAAAAAAUAAGAGAUUCACAGCAACCAAUCAAAAGAAGCCCAGUCCACCUAAGCCAGCAUGUAAAGCAGUCUCCACUGCUUUAACCCGUAAAGGAAAGUAACCUGUAGUAAAAUAAAGGAAAGUAACCUGAGGUAACCUGAUGUUAACCAAUCCAGUUUUUGCAUUAGGCUGUUGCCUUGUUCCCGCUCAAGCUACCUUACAAAAACUGACUGUUCUGCCAUCUCCAAUGGAGCUCCGUAUUAUUAACCUUGGUUUAUGGGUGAAGAAGCUGAGGCUCAGAGUGAUGAGAUAACCUCUCCUUGCGUGUUAGCUUGCUAUCGCUGGUUCUGUGACGCAAUGUCCAUCUUCUUACUCUGCUCAUAACUUGGGUGAUAUCAAGGCAGGGGAGUGAAACAUCUGCCCUUCAAAGACCACAAAGGAAGCUAUCAUGUUCUUGAUGACAGCACAAGUGGCAGUGGAGAAAGUGAGGAGCUGCCCCAGCCUGUGGAAUCACAAUGUUAAGUAUCAGAGGUUAAGAAUACAUUUCAUUGCUUUUGGUAUAGAAGUUGUUGGUUUUGUCAAUUUUGGCUUCCCAGCUGACUUUUUAUUCUAUGUAAAGAAUUUGUCUUUUGUACAGAGCUUGCAUGCAUUUUCAAUUGCUGAAUUUGCACACUUAGUUGAUAACACUGAAAAUGAUCCAUCUAUGUAAAACAGCAAAAGUCAACCCAUGUUCACAUUCACAGCUGAAAUUAUACCUCUUCUCAAAUUAUGCCUAUUGUCCCAUCAUUCAUACACAAUUAUGUGCUACUCUUUAUUCUGGUAUGACAGAUUUUAUUUAUCUUUGGGUUGCACCUCUUGAAAAUUGUUUUUAAUGUAACAAUAGCU